GGAGAUGAACUCAGAGGCAUCACGUGCGUCAUCCAACAGCCGCUGAAUGUCGGCCUCCGAUGUCACGUGACGAUUCUCCUCGAACUUAUUUCUGACCUCGGCCGCGGAAUUUUGGAGCAUCAAACCGUCGCCGGCGAAGGUUUUCCGAGUGGCCUUGGCGGAUUUUUGGAGCAUGAAACCGUCGCCGGCGAAGGUUUUCCGAGUGGCCUUCAGCACUGAUCUAUAGGCUCGAAGUGCUUCUACUGCUCUCCCGCUCGCCAUUCCUCUCUCCGUUGUUUCAAUGAGCUUAAUUGAUAACCCCGAGACUAUAAUUUCUCCUUGAAAUAGAGAAAUGUCUAUAUAUAAGAGAUUUAAUCUAUAUGAAUUGCUAGUGUAAAUCUUUUAACAUCAAAA
Molecule: long non-coding RNA, 393 nt
Filed under: Nicotiana benthamiana
Lineage: Eukaryota; Viridiplantae; Streptophyta; Magnoliopsida; Solanales; Solanaceae
Description: long non-coding RNA (NBEN_LNC041055)
Source: RNAcentral